CCCUAGGGAAAGAAGGUCUGUACGGAGCACGCCGCGUGAGUGAUGAAGGCUUUCGGGUCGUAAAACUCUGUUGUUAGGGAAGAACAAGUGCUAGUUGAAUAAGCUGGCACCUUGACGGUACCUAACCAGAAAGCCACGGCUAACUACGUGCCAGCAGCCGCGGUAAUACGUAGGUGGCAAGCGUUAUCCGGAAUUAUUGGGCGUAAAGCGCGCGCAGGUGGUUUCUUAAGUCUGAUGUGAAAGCCCACGGCUCAACCGUGGAGGGUCAUUGGAAACUGGGAGACUUGAGUGCAGAAGAGGAAAGUGGAAUUCCAUGUGUAGCGGUGAAAUGCGUAGAGAUAUGGAGGAACACCAGUGGCGAAGGCGACUUUCUGGUCUGUAACUGACACUGAGGCGCGAAAGCGUGGGGAGCAAACAGGAUUAGAUACCCUGGUAGUCCACGCCGUAAACGAUGAGUGCUAAGUGUUAGAGGGUUUCCGCCCUUUAGUGCUGAAGUUAACGCAUUAAGCACUCCGCCUGGGGAG
RNAcentral lists this ribosomal RNA (524 nucleotides) under Bacillus cereus. RNAcentral describes it as "bacterial SSU rRNA". It matches the Rfam family "Bacterial small subunit ribosomal RNA", at positions 366 to 880 of the family's 1533-position model. The record is from RNAcentral. Lineage: Bacteria; Bacillati; Bacillota; Bacilli; Caryophanales; Bacillaceae.